Non-coding RNA from Sander lucioperca (pikeperch), 393 nucleotides. Lineage: Eukaryota; Metazoa; Chordata; Actinopteri; Perciformes; Percidae. The record is from the annotation of a RefSeq genome assembly.
AUGGAGGAGACCGUACAUGGCCAGCAGUGCCUGCACCUCCGCAUCAGUCCACUUUUCCGAGUUCCGCAUUCCGUCCAUUCUCGAAGUGUGAAGUGUGAACAGUUGACACAGCCAGCCUCUGUGACUGUGCAGCCAGGUCAACAUCUGACCAUCACCUGUCAGGUCUCUUAUUGUGUUGGUAGCUAUCGCACAGCUUGGAUCAGACAGCCUGCAGGGAAAGGACUGGAGUGGAUUGGAAGUGGACGUGUUGGAUACACAACGUACUACAAAGAUUCACUGAAGAACAAGUUCAGUAUCAGCUUUGACUCUUCCAGCAACACAGUGACUCUAAAUGGACAGAAUGUGCAGCCUGAAGACACUGCUGUGUAUAACUGUGCCAGAGAGCCACAGUAA